This 253-nucleotide ribosomal RNA is filed under the name uncultured bacterium. Its description in RNAcentral is "partial 16S ribosomal RNA". It matches the Rfam family "Bacterial small subunit ribosomal RNA", at positions 524 to 776 of the family's 1533-position model. The record is from RNAcentral.
UACGAAGGGGGCGAGCGUUGUUCGGAAUUACUGGGCGUAAAGGGCGCGUAGGCGGCGACCCAAGUCAGAUGUGAAAGUCCUGGGCUUAACCUGGGGACUGCAUUUGAGACUGCAUUGCUAGAGUAUGGGAGAGGGAAGUGGAAUUUCCGGUGUAGCGGUGAAAUGCGUAGAUAUCGGAAGGAACAUCAGUGGCGAAAGCGACUUCCUGGACCAAUACUGACGCUCAUGUGCGAAAGCGUGGGGAGCAAACAGG